Non-coding RNA from Cordylochernes scorpioides, 85 nucleotides. The record is from the annotation of a GenBank genome assembly. Lineage: Eukaryota; Metazoa; Arthropoda; Arachnida; Pseudoscorpiones; Chernetidae.
UGUCCAAUGCGGGGAUCGAACCCGGGUCGUAGUGGUCGUAAACCAAACGGUUUAACCAGCCUUCCACUGACCCGAAAGGAAGGAC